UACGUAGGGGGCAAGCGUUGUCCGGAUUUAUUGGGCGUAAAGAGCGUGUAGGCGGCUUUACAGGUCCGUUGUGAAAACUCGAGGCUCAACCUCGAGACGCCGGUGGAAACCGUAAAGCUAGAGUCCGGAAGAGGAGAGUGGAAUUCCUGGUGUAGCGGUGAAAUGCGCAGAUAUCAGGAGGAACACCCGUGGCGAAGGCGACUUCUUGGCCUGUUCUUGACGCUGAGGCGCGAAAGCUGGGGGAGCAAACGGG
Molecule: ribosomal RNA, 253 nt
Filed under: uncultured bacterium
Lineage: Bacteria
Description: partial 16S ribosomal RNA
Rfam family: Bacterial small subunit ribosomal RNA
Source: RNAcentral